AAAAAGACUUUUCUAAACCAAUUUAAACUCAACUAUCUAGCCAAAAAUACACUUGUAGUUAUGCUCACAUUCAAACAUGAUAUUCAAACACAAUGAUUGAAUACCUUUUUCCCUCUCCAUAAUAUCAAUAGUAACAUCUUAAUUAUAAGUUCAAUCACAGAUUUAUACCAUUGCAGAUUGAAUCUUCUUUAGGGCUCAUCUGGAACCGAGUAUAAAAUUUGAGAAAAUUAAUGAAGCAGAAAGAAUUUUGUCAAAUAAGAUCACUAAAAUUUACGAAAAAACUAUAAAGUCUACAGGGAGGCGAGCACACAAGCGACCUUAUCUUCUUCAAUCUGUGACAUUGUGCGUGAGGCCCACCUAAACAGCCAAAACCACCAGUCCAGGUCCACCAUCUGUAAUUCCCACCUCACCAUCGAUCGACUACUAUAUGUACGCCCAAUCUUCUGCCAUUACCUGGGCCUCCUCUCUCUCUCUCUCUCUCUCUCUCGUGCAGAACGAGAAAACCUUGCUGUGAAAAAGAAGGCACAAACAAAGGAGCUUUGUCUAAACAAGAAGAACAAAAACUCAUUGAUUACAUUAAAAUGUUCUAGAGUAAGGAUUGUUGCAGGAAUCCAGGAUGCAGGGUUGCAUCAGAGUGCAAUUCACAAGCAUGUUUCAGAGUCUUAGUUUGAAGUUUUAUAAAUGCAAUCCAAGUUUAAUAGACGGCUAUGAUUGUAAUAUUUGAAUGGUGUAAAAGUUGUCAUCUGUCAUAGCAGCUGUGCAAACUGAACAUGUGCAGUCCACGUGAGAAUGCUUUGGAUCCAUGUCACGUGUGGAGCGUGUGAAGCUCCAAUGGUCUCUUGUUUUUCCAUGCUUCUCGGAUCUGCGUUCACACCAGAAUUGUAAGCCAACUUUACUGUCAAUGAAACAAUGAGAGCUAUGAACCUCCAUUCCUUCCU
This 938-nucleotide long non-coding RNA is filed under the name Malus domestica (apple). RNAcentral describes it as "long non-coding RNA (MDOM_LNC017793)". Lineage: Eukaryota; Viridiplantae; Streptophyta; Magnoliopsida; Rosales; Rosaceae. The record is from RNAcentral.